RNAcentral lists this ribosomal RNA (506 nucleotides) under uncultured bacterium. RNAcentral's name for it is "partial 16S ribosomal RNA". It matches the Rfam family "Bacterial small subunit ribosomal RNA", at positions 29 to 523 of the family's 1533-position model. The record is from RNAcentral.
AGUGAACGCUGGCGGUAGGCCUAACACAUGCAAGUCGAACGGCAGCACAGAGGAGCUUGCUCCUUGGGUGGCGAGUGGCGGACGGGUGAGGAAUACAUCGGAAUCUACUCUGUCGUGAGGGAUAACGUAGGGAAACUUAUGCUAAUACCGCAUACGACCUACGGGUGAAAGCAGGGGAUCUUCGGACCUUGCGCGAUUGAAUGAGCCGAUGUCGGAUUAGCUAGUUGGCGGGGUAAAGGCCCACCAAGGCGACGAUCCGUAGCUGGUCUGAGAGGAUGAUCAGCCACACUGGAACUGAGACACGGUCCAGACUCCUACGGGAGGCAGCAGUGGGGAAUAUUGGACAAUGGGCGCAAGCCUGAUCCAGCCAUACCGCGUGGGUGAAGAAGGCCUUCGGGUUGUAAAGCCCUUUUGUUGGGAAAGAAAUCCAUCUGGUUAAUACCCGGGUGGGAUGACGGUACCCAAAGAAUAAGCACCGGCUAACUUCGUGCCAGCCGCCGCGGUAA